GGGACACACUGGGGAGUAAAACCAGACAUGAUCCCAUGCAGUUGAGAGCUCCUGGCCUUGGUAACUCCAUUGGCUGGCUUCUGCACCGUGCUGCAGGAUGGAAAAUGGAUUGGAGGAGAGUGAGAGUGAAUUAUGGAAUGGAAUACCUGUGGAACUUCAAAAAAUACAGCUGCCUGAGCCAUACUACAAACCUAUUCAAUAAAGCAGUAUAGUCAAUAAAAUAAACACUGAAAGAUUCUUAAUAGCAUUAAGUGUACUGAAG
Molecule: long non-coding RNA, 262 nt
Filed under: Macaca nemestrina (pig-tailed macaque)
Lineage: Eukaryota; Metazoa; Chordata; Mammalia; Primates; Cercopithecidae
Description: lncRNA (ENSMNEG00000046031.1)
Source: RNAcentral